RNAcentral lists this ribosomal RNA (497 nucleotides) under uncultured bacterium. RNAcentral's name for it is "partial 16S ribosomal RNA". It matches the Rfam family "Bacterial small subunit ribosomal RNA", at positions 28 to 507 of the family's 1533-position model. The record is from RNAcentral.
GAUGAACGCUGGCGGCGUGCCUAAUACAUGCAAGUCGAGCGAACAGACGAGGAGCUUGCUCCUCUGACGUUAGCGGCGGACGGGUGAGUUACACGUGGAUAACCUACCUAUAAGACUGGGAUAACUUCGGGAAACCGGAGCUAAUACCGGAUAAUAUAUUGAACCGCAUGGUUCAAUAGUGAAAGACGGUUUUGCUGUCACUUAUAGAUGGAUCCGCGCCGCAUUAGCUAGUUGGUAAGGUAACGGCUUACCAAGGCGACGAUGCGUAGCCGACCUGAGAGGGUGGUCGGCCACACUGGAACUGAGACACGGUCCAGACUCCUACGGGAGGCAGCAGUAGGGAAUCUUCCGCAAUGGGCGAAAGCCUGACGGGGCAACGCCGCGUGAGUGAUGAAGGUCUUCGGAUCGUAAAACUCUGUUAUUAGGGAAGAACAAAUGUGUAAGUAACUAUGCACGUCUUGACGGUACCUAAUCAGAAAGCCACGGCUAACUACGUG